Molecule: ribosomal RNA, 462 nt
Filed under: uncultured bacterium
Lineage: Bacteria
Description: partial 16S ribosomal RNA
Rfam family: Bacterial small subunit ribosomal RNA
Source: RNAcentral
GACGAACGCUGGCGGCGUGCUUAACACAUGCAAGUCGAACGGAAAGGCCCUUCGGGGUACUCGAGUGGCGAACGGGUGAGUAACACGUGGGUGAUCUGCCCUGCACUUUGGGAUAAGCCUGGGAAACUGGGUCUAAUACCGAAUAGGACCACGCGCUUCAUGGUGUGUGGUGGAAAGCUUUUGCGGUGUGGGAUGGGCCCGCGGCCUAUCAGCUUGUUGGUGGGGUAAUGGCCUACCAAGGCGACGACGGGUAGCCGGCCUGAGAGGGUGACCGGCCACACUGGGACUGAGAUACGGCCCAGACUCCUACGGGAGGCAGCAGUGGGGAAUAUUGCACAAUGGGCGCAAGCCUGAUGCAACGACGCCGCGUGAGGGAUGACGGCCUUCGGGUUGUAAACCUCUUUCAAUAGGGACGAAGCGCAAGUGACGGUACCUAUAGAAGAAGCACCGGCCAACUACGUG